AACGAACGCUGGCGGCAGGCCCAACACAUGCAAGUCGAGCGAGACCUUCGGGUCUAGCGGCGGACGGGUGAGUAACGCGUGGGAAUAUGCCCUUUGGUACGGAAUAGCCUCGGGAAACUGAGAGUAAUACCGUAUGUGCCCUUCGGGGGAAAGAUUUAUCGCCAAAGGAUUAGCCCGCGUUGGAUUAGGUAGUUGGUGGGGUAAUGGCCUACCAAGCCUACGAUCCAUAGCUGGUUUGAGAGAAUGAUCAGCCACACUGGGACUGAGACACGGCCCAGACUCCUACGGGAGGCAGCAGUGGGGAAUCUUAGACAAUGGGGGCAACCCUGAUCUAGCCAUGCCGCGUGAGUGAUGAAGGCCUUAGGGUUGUAAAGCUCUUUCAGCUGGGAAGAUAAUGACGGUACCAGCAGAAGAAGCCCCGGCUAACUCCGUGCCAGCAGCCGCCGUAA
RNAcentral lists this ribosomal RNA (449 nucleotides) under uncultured bacterium. Its description in RNAcentral is "partial 16S ribosomal RNA". It matches the Rfam family "Bacterial small subunit ribosomal RNA", at positions 29 to 523 of the family's 1533-position model. The record is from RNAcentral.